CCUGCAGGGAGCCAGACAACGGGGUGCAGAGCACCAACCAUCUCCUAGCGGACCUGGAGCCAGAAGCUGGCUUCACAUUGCUGGAAUCCAGCCGCAAGGAAGAACUCGGUGGAGAUAGAGAAUAUCUGUUUAUCUAGACAAGGAAGGAGGAAAGAGAAGGACUUUGGAGCACUGGCCCUUACAGCCUCUCUGCAUGCAGAGCACAGCCUGUGUCUUUCACAGGGACUGUAUUAAAAUCUUUCUCACUCUGGGCCUUUAUCCUGAGACUGUGAGGAAUGGCAGGAACAUUAAAGUUAUUGGAGUUGCCCCAGUGAUGGAUUUGUCACACAAAAUACCACAGCUGAAUGCAGUGUCACUUACUAGUCCAGCUUAUGUCUGUUUUGGUACUUUCUGA
Molecule: long non-coding RNA, 394 nt
Filed under: Lepidothrix coronata (blue-crowned manakin)
Lineage: Eukaryota; Metazoa; Chordata; Aves; Passeriformes; Pipridae
Description: lncRNA (ENSLCOG00000004536.1)
Source: RNAcentral